Molecule: ribosomal RNA, 1324 nt
Filed under: uncultured bacterium
Lineage: Bacteria
Description: bacterial SSU rRNA
Rfam family: Bacterial small subunit ribosomal RNA
Source: RNAcentral
AACGAACGCUGGCGGUAGGCUUAACACAUGCAAGUCGAACGAACUAAAACCUGCUUGCAGGUUUUAGUGAGUGGCAGACGGGUGCGUAAUGCGUGGGAACUUACCUGAUAGUAGGGAAUAGCCAGUGGAGACAUUGGGUAAUGCCCUAUAUUCCCCGAGGGGAAAAGAUUAAUCGCUAUCAGAGAGGCCCACGUUAGAUUAGCUUGUUGGUGAGGUAAUGGCUCACCAAGGCUACGAUCUAUAGCUGGUCUGAGAGGAUGGUCAGCCACACUGGAACUGAGAUACGGUCCAGACUCCUACGGGAGGCAGCAGUGGGGAAUAUUGGACAAUGGGCGAAAGCCUGAUCCAGCCAUACCGCAUGAGUGAUGAAGGCCCUUGGGUUGUAAAGCUCUUUUAGUGGGGAAGAUAAUGACGGUACCCACAGAAAAAGUCCCGGCUAACUCCGUGCCAGCAGCCGCGGUAAUACGGAGGGGGCUAGCGUUGUUCGGAAUUAUUGGGCGUAAAGGGUGCGUAGGCGGCCUGAUAAGUCAAAUGUGAAAUCCUUGGGCUUAACCCAAGAACUGCAUUUGAUACUGUUAGGCUUGAACAUGAGAGAGGGUGAUGGAAUUCUUGGUGUAGGGGUGAAAUCCGUAGAUAUCAAGAGGAACGUCAGGGGCGAAAGCGAUCACCUGGAUCAUUGUUGACGCUGAGGCACGAAAGCGUGGGGAGCAAACAGGAUUAGAUACCCUGGUAGUCCACGCCGUAAACGAUGAGUGCUAAAAGUGGGUUGUUUUAUAUCCGCUUUGCAGCUAACGCGUUAAGCACUCCGCCUGGGGACUACGGUCGCAAGACUAAAACUCAAAGGAAUUGACGGGGAUCCGCACAAGCGGUGGAGUAUGUGGUUUAAUUCGAUGCAACGCGAAGAACCUUACCACACCUUGACAUGCAAAUUAUACCUCUCCGAAAGGAGAGGGUCAGUUCGGCUGGAUUUGACACAGGUGUUGCAUGGCUGUCGUCAGCUCGUGCCGUGAGGUGUUGGGUUAAGUCCCGCAACGAGCGCAACCCCCAUCCUUAGUUGCCAGCGGUUUGGCCGGGAACUUUAAGGAAACUGCCAGUGACAAACUGGAGGAAGGUGGGGAUAACGUCAAGUCAUCAUGGCCCAUAUGGUGUGGGCUACACACGUACUACAAUGGUGGUUACAACGAGUUUAGCUAAGUCGCAAGGCUACGCAAAUCUCUUAAAAGCCACCCCAGUACAGAUUGCUCUCUGCAACUCGAGAGCAUGAAAGUUGGAAUCGCUAGUAAUCGCGGAUCAGCAUGCCGCGGUGAAAUACGUUCUCGGAUCU